GUUACUUUUCAAAUUGAAAACCAUUUUGAGCUUCAAAAUCUUUUUAUUAUUUUAAAAGGGUUAAGUGAGGGUGAAAAAAGGGGUGUGACAGAAUUAUUAUUUGUGUUUAUUAUAUUUGUGAUUUCGGAUUUAGGUUGUGAUUCCGUUCACUCGUCUGUGUCCUUAUUAUGGUAUUCCGCUGUUACUUGUUAUUUCCUUCCUUAUUGUAAAUUUCAGUAUUGUUAGCCAUAUCGCGUAGUCUUUAUGUAGAUAUCAUGUUUUGUUGUUCCUAUACUUAUACUUGUCAGAUUAUUAAACCGAUAGGUAUCUUGACUGUUCCUCGUCGCUACUCCACCGAGGUUAGCCUUGAUACUUAAUGGGCACCGCUAUGGUGUGCUCAUACUACACUUAUGUAGAUUUUUUUAUACACAUCCAGGUAAUUGUUUGUUAGUAGCUAUACGGAUCGUUGCUGUGGAGACUCAAGGUAAAUCUGUUGCUGCAUUCGCAGGCUUCGGAGUCACCUUCCUAAUUUUGUAUUCACACUGUUUUACUUAUUUCCAAACAAUUGUAUUUAGAAGUUGUUGUAAACUAUGUAGAGCUUAUAACUUGUACUUUCGGUUUUGGAAAAUUGUAAAUUCUAUAAAGAUUUCUAUAUCGAGACUGUUAGUCUUUCUUAUUA
Molecule: non-coding RNA, 658 nt
Organism: Nicotiana tabacum (common tobacco)
Lineage: Eukaryota; Viridiplantae; Streptophyta; Magnoliopsida; Solanales; Solanaceae
Source: RefSeq, a predicted model, not a curated record